RNAcentral lists this ribosomal RNA (492 nucleotides) under uncultured bacterium. Its description in RNAcentral is "partial 16S ribosomal RNA". It matches the Rfam family "Bacterial small subunit ribosomal RNA", at positions 29 to 507 of the family's 1533-position model. The record is from RNAcentral.
AGUGAACGCUGGCGGUAGGCCUAACACAUGCAAGUCGAACGGCAGCACAGUAAGAUCUUGCUCUUACGGGUGGCGAGUGGCGGACGUGUGAGGAAUACAUCGUAAUCUACUUUUUCGUGGGGGUUAACGUAGGGAAACUUACGCUAAUACCGCAUACGACCUACGGGUGUAAGCAUGGGAUCUUCGGACCUUGCGCGAUUGAAUGAGCCGCUGUCGGAUUGGCUAGUUGGGGGGGUAAAGGCCCACCAAGGCGACGAUCCGUAGCUGGUCUGAGAGGAUGAUAGGCCACACGGGAACUGAGACACGGUCCAGACGACUACGGGAGGCAGCAGUGGGGAAUAUUGGACAAUGGGCGCAAGCCUGAUCCAGCCAGACCGAGUGGGUGAAGAAGGCGUUCGGGUUGUAAAGCCCUUUUGUUGGGAAAGAAAAGCAGCAGGUUAAUACCCAGCUGUUCUGACGGUAACCAAAGAAUAAGCACCGGCUAACUUCGUG